GGUGGCUCAGUGGUAGAGUGCUUGCCUGCCAUGCAUGAAGCCCUGGGUUUGAUUCCUCAGUACCA
Molecule: transfer RNA, 65 nt
Filed under: Dipodomys ordii (Ord's kangaroo rat)
Lineage: Eukaryota; Metazoa; Chordata; Mammalia; Rodentia; Heteromyidae
Rfam family: tRNA
About the family: Transfer RNA (tRNA) molecules are approximately 80 nucleotides in length. Their secondary structure includes four short double-helical elements and three loops (D, anti-codon, and T loops).
Source: Rfam by way of RNAcentral